RNAcentral lists this ribosomal RNA (1228 nucleotides) under Escherichia coli. Its description in RNAcentral is "partial 23S ribosomal RNA". It matches the Rfam family "Bacterial large subunit ribosomal RNA", at positions 1 to 1269 of the family's 2925-position model. Lineage: Bacteria; Pseudomonadati; Pseudomonadota; Gammaproteobacteria; Enterobacterales; Enterobacteriaceae. RNAcentral also lists the same sequence under 1 other name. The record is from RNAcentral.
GGUUAAGCGACUAAGCGUACACGGUGGAUGCCCUGGCAGUCAGAGGCGAUGAAGGACGUGCUAAUCUGCGAUAAGCGUCGGUGAGGUGAUAUGAACCGUUAUAACCGGCGAUUUCCGAAUGGGGAAACCCAGUGUGUUUCGACACACUAUCAUUAACUGAAUCCAUAGGUUAAUGAGGCGAACCGGGGGAACUGAAACAUCUAAGUACCCCGAGGAAAAGAAAUCAACCGAGAUUCCCCCAGUAGCGGCGAGCGAACGGGGAGGAGCCCAGAGCCUGAAUCAGUGUGUGUGUUAGUGGAAGCGUCUGGAAAGGCGCGCGAUACAGGGUGACAGCCCCGUACACAAAAAUGCACAUAUUGUGAGCUCGAUGAGUAGGGCGGGACACGUGGUAUCCUGUCUGAAUAUGGGGGGACCAUCCUCCAAGGCUAAAUACUCCUGACUGACCGAUAGUGAACCAGUACCGUGAGGGAAAGGCGAAAAGAACCCCGGCGAGGGGAGUGAAAAAGAACCUGAAACCGUGUACGUACAAGCAGUGGGAGCCUCUUAAUGGGGUGACUGCGUACCUUUUGUAUAAUGGGUCAGCGACUUAUAUUCUGUAGCAAGGUUAACCGAAUAGGGGAGCCGAAGGGAAACCGAGUCUUAACUGGGCGUUAAGUUGCAGGGUAUAGACCCGAAACCCGGUGAUCUAGCCAUGGGCAGGUUGAAGGUUGGGUAACACUAACUGGAGGACCGAACCGACUAAUGUUGAAAAAUUAGCGGAUGACUUGUGGCUGGGGGUGAAAGGCCAAUCAAACCGGGAGAUAGCUGGUUCUCCCCGAAAGCUAUUUAGGUAGCGCCUCGUGAAUUCAUCUCCGGGGGUAGAGCACUGUUUCGGCAAGGGGGUCAUCCCGACUUACCAACCCGAUGCAAACUGCGAAUACCGGAGAAUGUUAUCACGGGAGACACACGGCGGGUGCUAACGUCCGUCGUGAAGAGGGAAACAACCCAGACCGCCAGCUAAGGUCCCAAAGUCAUGGUUAAGUGGGAAACGAUGUGGGAAGGCCCAGACAGCCAGGAUGUUGGCUUAGAAGCAGCCAUCAUUUAAAGAAAGCGUAAUAGCUCACUGGUCGAGUCGGCCUGCGCGGAAGAUGUAACGGGGCUAAACCAUGCACCGAAGCUGCGGCAGCGACGCUUAUGCGUUGUUGGGUAGGGGAGCGUUCUGUAAGCCUGUGAAGGUGUGCUGUGAGGC